RNAcentral lists this ribosomal RNA (878 nucleotides) under uncultured Gammaproteobacteria bacterium. Its description in RNAcentral is "bacterial SSU rRNA". It matches the Rfam family "Bacterial small subunit ribosomal RNA", at positions 45 to 917 of the family's 1533-position model. The record is from RNAcentral. Lineage: Bacteria; Pseudomonadati; Pseudomonadota; Gammaproteobacteria.
GGCUUAACACAUGCAAGUCGUGCGAGAAAGUUCUUCGGAUAUGAGUAGAGCGGCGGACGGGUGAGUAACGCGUAGGAAUCUACCUAGUAGAAGGGGAUAGCCCGGGGAAACCCGGAUUAAUACCGUAUACCUCCUUCGGGAGACAGAAGGCCUCUCUUUGAAGCUUUCGCUACUAGAUGAGCCUGCGUAAGAUUAGCUUGUUGGUGAGGUAAAGGCUCACCAAGGCUACGAUCUUUAGCUGGUCUGAGAGGACGAUCAGCCACAUUGGGACUGAGACACGGCCCAGACUCCUACGGGAGGCAGCAGUGGGGAAUAUUGGACAAUGGGCGCAAGCCUGAUCCAGCCAUACCGCGUGUGUGAAGAAGGCCUUCGGGUUGUAAAGCACUUUAAGCAGGGAGAAAAAGUUAUAAGCUAAUACCUUAUGACCUUGAUGUUACCUGCAGAAUAAGCACCGGCUAAUUCCGUGCCAGCAGCCGCGGUAAUACGGAUGGUGCAAGCGUUAAUCGGAAUUACUGGGCGUAAAGCGCGCGUAGGUGGUUUGUUAAGUUGGAUGUGAAAGCCCUGGGCUCAACCUAGGAACUGCAUCCAAAACUAACUCACUAGAGUACGAUAGAGGGAGGUAGAAUUCAUAGUGUAGCGGUGGAAUGCGUAGAUAUUAUGAAGAAUACCAGUGGCGAAGGCGGCCUCCUGGAUCUGUACUGACACUGAGGUGCGAAAGCGUGGGUAGCGAACAGGAUUAGAUACCCUGGUAGUCCACGCCGUAAACGAUGACAACUAGCUGUUGGGAGACUAUGUCUUCCAGUGGCGCAGCUAACGCUUUAAGUUGUCCCCCUGGGGAGUACGGCCGCAAGGGCUAAAACUCAAAUAAAAUUGACGGG